RNAcentral lists this long non-coding RNA (234 nucleotides) under Hordeum vulgare. RNAcentral's name for it is "long non-coding RNA (HVUL_LNC009092)". The record is from RNAcentral. Lineage: Eukaryota; Viridiplantae; Streptophyta; Magnoliopsida; Poales; Poaceae.
GAAGGUCCUUAUCGGGUAGUACGAGUCAUCAGGCCUGUAGCAGUCCGUCUGGAGACCGAAAUGGCGUUCCUGUGAGCAACUCCUGGAAUAUCGAGCAUCUUCGCAAGUUCUAUCCAUAAGGCACGGUUGCCAGCCCCCCCGGCAAUCACCUUUUGUACAAGUCUUCCGGCAAGGCAUGUAAUCCUUUGCACAAAGCCAGACACAGACUCUGUGCGUAGUUGAAUAAAGUUUAGC